This 395-nucleotide unclassified non-coding RNA is filed under the name soil metagenome. Its description in RNAcentral is "partial contains 5.8S ribosomal RNA, internal transcribed spacer 2, and large subunit ribosomal RNA". The stretch from base 1 to 120 matches the Rfam family "5.8S ribosomal RNA", at positions 35 to 154 of the family's 154-position model. The record is from RNAcentral.
GAUGAAGAACGUAGCGAAAUGCGAUAAGUAAUGUGAAUUGCAGAAUUCAGUGAAUCAUCGAAUCUUUGAACGCACCUUGCGCCUUUUGGUAUUCCGAAAGGCACACCUGUUUGAGCGUCAUGAAUACCUCAAUCUCCAUCUUUUCUUCGGAUUGAUGGGUGACUUGGAUGUUGAGCCCUGCUGGUAUGCUAUAUCAGCUGGCUUUAAACUUAUUAGCCGGCUCUGUACUGGAUCGGUUUGACUCGACGUGAUAAUAUUAUCGUUGAGGAUGCGUGUCUCAUGCAGCCGGAAAGUAUCAAAGCAGCUUCUAGCUUGCCUUUAGUGCACUUUUACAUUUUAGACCUCAGAUCAGGUGGGACUACCCGCUGAACUUAAGCAUAUCAAUAAGCGGAGGA